Pelobates cultripes (western spadefoot toad) is the source of this 286-nucleotide non-coding RNA. The record is from the annotation of a GenBank genome assembly. NCBI's taxonomy places the organism in Eukaryota, Metazoa, Chordata, Amphibia, Anura, Pelobatidae.
CUGUAAUGCACCUCAAAUAGCAAGGUCCACAAUCCAAAUCACCCCUGCCAGGUCAUCUACAUUUGCAGGGCUCAGGUCUUCACUAACUCUUGCCCUUUAACCCCGUAAGGACACAUGACAUGUGUGACAUGUCAUGAUUCCCUUUUAUUCCAGAAGUUUGGUCCUUAAGGGGUUUAAACCAAUUUUUUCUAAAUUUAUAGAGUAGCCUUCUGUGUUGAAAUGUUUUAGCAAAACGCAAGUGGAUCACAUGUACUGACAUCGUCUGAUCUAUACUUCUACCUUCUGC